Molecule: ribosomal RNA, 725 nt
Filed under: uncultured bacterium
Lineage: Bacteria
Description: bacterial SSU rRNA
Rfam family: Bacterial small subunit ribosomal RNA
Source: RNAcentral
GGAAAGAAAGAUUAAUACCCGAUGGCAUAGUUCUUCCGCAUGGUAGAACUAUUAAAGAAUUUCGGUCAUCGAUGGGGAUGCGUUCCAUUAGGUUGUUGGCGGGGUAACGGCCCACCAAGCCUUCGAUGGAUAGGGGUUCUGAGAGGAAGGUCCCCCACAUUGGAACUGAGACACGGUCCAAACUCCUACGGGAGGCAGCAGUGAGGAAUAUUGGUCAAUGGACGAGAGUCUGAACCAGCCAAGUAGCGUGAAGGAUGACUGCCCUAUGGGUUGUAAACUUCUUUUAUACGGGAAUAAAGUGAGGCACGUGUGCCUUUUUGUAUGUACCGUAUGAAUAAGGAUCGGCUAACUCCGUGCCAGCAGCCGCGGUAAUACGGAGGAUCCGAGCGUUAUCCGGAUUUAUUGGGUUUAAAGGGAGCGUAGGCGGACGCUUAAGUCAGUUGUGAAAGUUUGCGGCUCAACCGUAAAAUUGCAGUUGAUACUGGGUGUCUUGAGUACAGUAGAGGCAGGCGGAAUUCGUGGUGUAGCGGUGAAAUGCUUAGAUAUCACGAAGAACUCCGAUUGCGAAGGCAGCCUGCUGGACUGUAACUGACGCUGAUGCUCGAAAGUGUGGGUAUCAAACAGGAUUAGAUACCCUGGUAGUCCACACAGUAAACGAUGAAUACUCGCUGUUUGCGAUAUACAGUAAGCGGCCAAGCGAAAGCGUUAAGUAUUCCACCUGGGGA